AGUCAGAAAUUGGAUCGCCCCGCUCUUGACACUUCUGUUAUAGACAGCCCAUCUACGCCUUUGUUUUCCUCCUCCUCUGACAGCAACAUCAGCUCUCCAACACCCUUCAAUUCUCCAAAACCUAAACACAAAGAUUGUUCUGGCGCCACUAAAAAGCUUCGGCUCAUUAGUCCAGAGUAUGUCAUAUACACUGACACAGAACUAGAACUAGCAAGAAGUGCUUACUUUGAAAAGCAGCGUGCUGGACAAGACGAAGACUACACCAUGCCAAAAGACUUGCGCUGUAGACUCAUUAGGAAUACAGUAACAGGCAUGAUUGCUAUGAAAAGAGCGUCCGAGGAUGAUUUUAAGUACCCAGGCUCCCAUGAACUGACUGCCAUGGCUAAGCGUCUAGUAGAAUACUACCCAAUGCUGUGAGACAAGUCUACGUCCAAUACACCUGAAUGGGAAAUGGUGAAGAAGCAGUUGUUGAAAAGGGUUCAGAAUGUGACAACUCCAAAAAAGAAGCAAGGUCCAACCCCAUCAAGAAAAGGACCUAGAAGCCUAAAAUUCCAGAGCAUCCAGGCGACGUGCACUGAAGAGAGUGAUGAACCUUUCUCCUCCCCUGCUUCAGUCUCUUCAGCUGCUUCAUCAGUCGCCUCGUCGUCUUCCUCCACUGUGAUCCUAGAGAAGUCAACUCCUUCUACAAGUACUUCCCAAGAGGUGGAUCUCUUUAGUGCUAUAGAGAGCCCACAGAGCCAAGCGAGACACUAUAAAACUCUGCAGGAUUUGUACAAAACUAAGAACAAACCCAACAAGGAAGAUGUAUCCCAGCUGCUGGAAUUGGAGUUCCAAUCUAGACGAGCUUUCAUUGACUCUGAUGUGAUGAAGGAACAGGACAGGCCUAUGAAGAUACUGCAGGCUUAUCCAUGUUUUAAAGAACUUGGCCAUGGAAGUAUUUUUUUCUCACUUAACUUGUAUAUUUCACUUGAACGAAGGCCUCUUAAUUUAAAUCUCUACUGUUAGAUCAUCGAUGAACUCCAGCGAAUCCUUGAUAAAGGAAACCCCUUCUUCACAAUGGAGCUGAAGAAACGUUGGCUGAGAUGUUUUAACCAGGCACAGUUUUAUGGGGUGUUCAAAAAAAUCAUAGGACCAC
Molecule: long non-coding RNA, 1135 nt
Filed under: Gouania willdenowi (blunt-snouted clingfish)
Lineage: Eukaryota; Metazoa; Chordata; Actinopteri; Blenniiformes; Gobiesocidae
Description: lncRNA (ENSGWIG00000019585.1)
Source: RNAcentral